AUGCUCACUUCAGCAGCAAAUAUACUGAAUUUGGAAUGAUACAGAGAUGACUGGCAUGGGCCCUGUGCAAGGAUGACAUGCAAAUUUAUGAAACAUUUUUAUGAAUUUUU
This is a small nuclear RNA of Aotus nancymaae (Ma's night monkey), 110 nucleotides long. The record is from Ensembl. NCBI's taxonomy places the organism in Eukaryota, Metazoa, Chordata, Mammalia, Primates, Aotidae.